This 199-nucleotide long non-coding RNA is filed under the name Elaeis guineensis (African oil palm). RNAcentral describes it as "long non-coding RNA (EGUI_LNC038106)". Lineage: Eukaryota; Viridiplantae; Streptophyta; Magnoliopsida; Arecales; Arecaceae. The record is from RNAcentral.
AUGGUGGAGGAAAGAGGAGACUGGAGGCAAUAGGGGGAGGUGGGCCGAGGGCUUGGAGAGGUGGCCAAGGCUCGAGGAGGCGAGAGGCAGCCGAGGCACUCAGGAUCUGACAGACGGGGGCUCGAGGCGACCAUGGGGUCAUGCUGGGGAUGUCGAGACAUGGGCUCAGGCUCGAGGCAGCAGGAUCGGAGCAGGGGCC